GUGAAGCGGCAAAAGCUCCAAUUUGAAAUCUGGCACCUUUGGUGUCCGAAUUGUAAUUUGGAGAGGCAACUUCGGGUAGGACCCAGUCUAUGUUCCUUGGAACAGGACGUCAUAGAGGGUGAGAAUCCCGUUCAUGACUGGAUGUUCCUACUAGUACGUAGUGCCUUCUACGAGUCGAGUUGUUUGGGAAUGCAGCUCAAAAUGGGUGGUAAAUUUCAUCUAAAGCUAAAUAUUGGCGAGAGACCGAUAGCGCACAAGUAGAGUGAUCGAAAGAUGAAAAGCACUUUGAAAAUAGAGUCAAAAAGUACGUGAAAUUGUUGAAAGGGAAGCGCUUGAGACCAGACUCAGCCUUUGGUAAACAAGUGUCCUUCUGGGCAUUGCACUUGCCUCGGGUUGGGCCAGUAUCAGUUAGGAUGGUAGGAGAAAGGCCAGGGGAAUGUGACUCCAUUUUGGAGUGUUAUAGAUCCUGGUGUCAUGCUACCUGUCCUGACUGUGGACCGCGCAUUAGCUAGGAUACUGGC
RNAcentral lists this ribosomal RNA (521 nucleotides) under Tuber melanosporum (Perigord truffle). Its description in RNAcentral is "eukaryotic LSU rRNA". It matches the Rfam family "Eukaryotic large subunit ribosomal RNA", at positions 93 to 630 of the family's 3401-position model. The record is from RNAcentral. Lineage: Eukaryota; Fungi; Ascomycota; Pezizomycetes; Pezizales; Tuberaceae.